RNAcentral lists this ribosomal RNA (486 nucleotides) under uncultured bacterium. RNAcentral's name for it is "partial 16S ribosomal RNA". It matches the Rfam family "Bacterial small subunit ribosomal RNA", at positions 30 to 507 of the family's 1533-position model. The record is from RNAcentral.
AUUGAACGCUGGCGGCAUGCCUUACACAUGCAAGUCGAACGGCAGCACGGGUGCUUGCCCCUGGUGGCGAGUGGCGAACGGGUGAGUAAUACAUCGGAACAUGUCCUGUAGUGGGGGAUAGCCCGGCGAAAGCCGGAUUAAUACCGCAUACGAUCUACGGAUGACAGCGGGGGACCUUCGGGCCUCGCGCUAUCGGGUUGGCCGAUGGCUGAUUAGCUAGUUGGUGGGGUAAAGGCCUACCAAGGCGACGAUCAGUAGCUGGUCUGAGAGGACGACCAGCCACACUGGGACUGAGACACGGCCCAGACUCCUACGGGAGGCAGCAGUGGGGAAUGUUGGACAAUGGGCGAAAGCCUGAUCCAGCAAUGCCGCGUGUGUGAAGAAGGCCUUCGGGUUGUAAAGCACUUUUGUCCGGAAAGAAAUCCUUGGCUCUAAUACAGUCGGGGGAUGACGGUACCGGAAGAAUAAGCACCGGCUAACUACGUG